Molecule: ribosomal RNA, 529 nt
Filed under: Isabelozyma pseudorhagii
Lineage: Eukaryota; Fungi; Ascomycota; Pichiomycetes; Serinales; Metschnikowiaceae
Description: eukaryotic LSU rRNA
Rfam family: Eukaryotic large subunit ribosomal RNA
Source: RNAcentral
AAACCAACCGGGAUUGCCUCAGUAACGGCGAGUGAAGCGGCAAAAGCUCAAAUUUGGAAUCUGGCGCCUUCGGCGUCCGAGUUGUAAUUUGAAGACUCUAUCUUGGAAUGCGGCGCUGUUGAAGUUCCUUGGAACAGGACGUCACAGAGGGUGAGAAUCCCGUGCGAUGGCAGCCGCGGACCGUGUAAGUUAGUGUCGACGAGUCGAGUUGUUUGGGAAUGCAGCUCUAAGUGGGUGGUAAACUCCAUCUAAAGCUAAAUAUUGGCGAGAGACCGAUAGCGAACAAGUACAGUGAUGGAAAGAUGAAAAGAACUUUGAAAAGAGAGUGAAAAAGUACGUGAAAUUGUUGAAAGGGAAGGGCUUGAGAUCAGACAUGCCUUCGGGCAGGCCAGCAUCAGCUGGAAGGGGCAGACAAGGGCGCCGCAAUGUGGCCUGGCUUCGGCGAGGUGUUAUAGGCGGCGUCGAUGUGUCCACUUCCGGCUGAGGACCGCGCUUCGGCAAGGAUGCUGGCGUAAUGAUCCCCAGCCGC